This is a non-coding RNA of Tyto alba (common barn owl), 97 nucleotides long. Lineage: Eukaryota; Metazoa; Chordata; Aves; Strigiformes; Tytonidae. The record is from Rfam.
UUGGCAGUUCCCAGCUCUGAGAACUGAAUUCCAUGGACUGGUUCCAGUUCCAUGCAUUCAGUCCAUGGUAUUCAGUUCUCUAGCUUGGCUGCAUCAA